GAUGAACGCUGGCGGCGUGCCUAAUACAUGCAAGUCGAGCGAACAGACGAGGAGCUUGCUCCUCUGACGUUAGCGGCGGACGGGUGAGUAACACGUGGAUAACCUACCUAUAAGACUGGGAUAACUUCGGGAAACCGGAGCUAAUACCGGAUAAUAUAUUUAACCGCAUGGUUCAAUAGUGAAAGACGGUUUUGCUGUCACUUAUAGAUGGAUCCGCGCCGCAUUAGCUAGUUGGUAAGGUAACGGCUUACCAAGGCAACGAUGCGUAGCCGACCUGAGAGGGUGAUCGGCCACACUGGAACUGAGACACGGUCCAGACUCCUACGGGAGGCAGCAGUAGGGAAUCUUCCGCAAUGGGCGAAAGCCUGACGGAGCAACGCCGCGUGAGUGAUGAAGGUCUUCGGAUCGUAAAACUCUGUUAGGAGGGAAGAACAAAUGUGUAAGUAACUAUGCACGUCUUGACGGUACCUAAUCAGAAAGCCACGGCUAACUACGUG
RNAcentral lists this ribosomal RNA (497 nucleotides) under uncultured bacterium. Its description in RNAcentral is "partial 16S ribosomal RNA". It matches the Rfam family "Bacterial small subunit ribosomal RNA", at positions 28 to 507 of the family's 1533-position model. The record is from RNAcentral.